AGCCUGUUCAGUGAUGUUGUUAAGCGGCCACACAAGCAGGAUGGCGUCGACCGAGUAUCAAAAUUUAGAUCCUCUGAUGUUCUCUCGGCGUCAGAAACGGAAAUCGGAUUCCCUCGAUCAAAUGAUAAUGCUGCAGGAAUCACGAAAGAGAGUAUUUCAGAUCAACAAAAUCUUAAAGAAGCCUGAACAAGAAAGAAGUGCUGAGGAGUCUGUAAUUCUUGAAACAAAUCCAGAUCUUGUUAAAAAAGCUGUAGAAAGAGCAAAAAUUCGAUGUAAAUUAAAAAGACGAGCAUUAGAGAUUGAAGAUUCUGCUGAAGUACUCAAACAGAAAUGUGAUCAACUUGCUGAAGCUAUUAAGAAGUCAAAAGGUAUCUGUGUCUAUACUGGAGCAGGAAUCAGUACAGCUGCUUCAAUUCCUGACUAUAGAGGACCAAACGGUGUAUGGACACUUCUCCAAAAGGGACAAGAAUUAAAGCCUCAACAAUUUACUGAUGCAGAACCAACCAAAACACACAUGGGUCUGCUAACGCUUUACAAGCAUGGCAAGUUAAAACAUGUUGUAUCCCAGAAUUGCGAUGGACUUCAUCUCAGAAGUGGUCUCUCGAAAAGAAUCUUAUCUGAGGUUCACGGCAAUAUGUACUUAGAGAUGUGUUACAAAUGUAAACCUUUUAAAGAAUACCUGCGCCUGUUUGAUGUCACCGAGAAGACAGGUGUACGCAGGCAUCAUACAUCCCGACGCUGUCACUUCUGUAAAAACCUUCUUAGUGACACUAUUGUCCAUUUUGGUGAGAAAGGGCGCCUGUGUUCUCCAUACCGGUGGAAAGAGGCUGCAGCAGCAGCCAAAAACUGUGAUGUUAUUUUGUGCCUUGGAACCAGUUUGAAGGUACUAAAGAAAUACACUUGUCUAUGGUGUAUGGACAGAAAACCUUCAAAACGACCCAAACUUUUUAUUGUAAAUUUACAAUGGACACCAAAAGAUGUCUGUGCAACUUUAAAGAUCAAUGGAAGAUGUGAUGAUGUCAUGGAUCAAAUAAUGAAAAAAUUAGGGUGGAAAAUUACUGAAUAUUUAAGGGAAAAGGAUCCUAUGUUCCGUUUUGCUGUCCCUUUACGUGCCCAUGAAUACAAGAGUACCACUUCUAAACAACUUAAAGUGCCUGACUCCAUGAAGGAAAAAUUUUGUAUAAAGUCCAAGAAAUCGAAUUCUGAAUCUAUGCAGAGUAAGGAAACUGAACAAUCAUCUCCUGCCGUGAUAUCUUCCAUUAAAACCGAAAUCCAAAGCCAACAUUCUUGCCAAGCACUAUCAUCUUUGCAAAGUUCAUCUGAAAAGAAUUUCCCACAUGACAAACACCACCUACCCAACGCCUUAGACUCCAGUUAUGAGAACACGAAUUUAAAAUUAACUUUGAAAAGCAAUAUGUGUAGUUGUAGGUUUGUUGACAGCAGUGAAUGUACGCUAUGUUUUCUUAAGAACUCUUGUGAUAAAGACCAUUCCUAUUGCCGCCGGCGGCAAAGGAAUUUUCCAUGUUCCUUAAACACCGUACAGAAAAAGUCCCUCCCUUUGCCUUGGUGCUCAGUUGCAAAUAUCUUGAUGGAGCAUGAUUAUCUUGCUUGGAAUCAGUUUCACACUCUUGUCGAAGCUGCUGGUUUUGUAGUCAGUCAACCCCCGGCAUUGGCUGAUUGCAAACCUACCGUGUGCCAAGACGAACAAUUAGCCAACAGUAAAUGUAACGUGGACUAUCGUCCUAAUUUUGAAUCUUUGCACAGCUCUAAAUCAUUACCAAAGUUUUGUAACACUAGUAGCAAUAGCAGUAGUAGUAGUAGUAUUUGUAGCAGUAGUGGUAGUAGUGAGAGUAAUAGCAGCAACCAAACUAACGAAUCUCAAAGAAAUACGACUUCCAAACCUACUACUACUACUACUACUACUACUACUACUAUUACUACUACUACUCCUCGUUAUUGUGUUAGUUGUUUUUAUAACAAAGUGAAGUUCUCUAAGUUGUUAGCUCUGCAAGAUGAUGAUGAUGAUGAUGAUGAUGAUGAUGAUGGAGUGGGUCAUUCCAGUUCGAAUAAUGCAGAGUCUGGUGAUCGUGUUUCAGCAGCCAAUAGUGUUCAUAUCAAAACAGAAUCUGCUCAACCGGUUGCAGACCUCUGCAAAGAAGAGGGGGAAGGUGAAGAAGUAGAUGCUAGUUUUAAGUCUUCUUCGCAAGGUAAAUUAUACACUCAGUCUCGAUCUCGUUCAAUUCCAGGAUGGUUUGGUAAAGGUCUCAGCAUUCGCAAGAAAAGAAAACGAUUUUGACAAACUUUUAAAUGAUUAGGGAGAAAGCUCUUCAUAUUUGCAAUAAUAAUAAUAAUGAUAAUAAUAAUAAUGAAUAAUAAGGGUUUCAGAUUUUGGCACAAGGCCAGCAAUUUUAGAAGAGGGAUUAAGUCGAUUAUGCUAACCUUAGUGUUCAACUUUACUUUAUUGGCCCCAAAAUGAUAAAAGGUAAAGUUGGCCUCUGCAGAGUUUGAACUCAGAAUGUAAAGAUUGACAAAAUACUGCUAGGCCCUUUUUGCAGUGUAUUAACAAUUCUGCCAACUUUCUGUUUUGGUAAUAAUAAUAUGAUGUUGAUUUUUUUACUUUUCUUUUAUGAGAUAGUCAGAGGAAGGGAAAUAGUCUCCAUUACCUUUGUAGGUUCUCCCUGCUUGAUAAAAUUAGCAUAAAACAUCAUGAGUCUGUGAAGAAUAUAUACUGUUGAUUCAGUCAAUCCGAGUAUAUAACUGGUUCUUAUUUCAUUGAAUUCUUCUCUACUGAUUUGGUGUUAGGAAGGGCAUCCAGCUGUAGAAACAUUGCCAGAUCAGACUGGAGCCUGGUGCAGCCUUCUGCCUUCCCAGACCCC
Octopus sinensis (East Asian common octopus) is the source of this 2876-nucleotide RNA transcript. It is a transcript of the gene named NAD-dependent protein deacetylase sir-2.1-like, with no coding region annotated. The record is from RefSeq and is a predicted model, not a curated record. Lineage: Eukaryota; Metazoa; Mollusca; Cephalopoda; Octopoda; Octopodidae. The transcript has 11 exons.